UUAACUUGUUAUAAUAUUACUCAGACAAUACAAAAAUCAAGAGUUUAAGAUCCUCUGGCAGGCACAGACCAGCCUAAGCCGGUGGUCCAAAGACGGGCCUGCCAAAGCAACAAAGGUAAUGUAAACAAAGGGUGGGAGAUCUACCCAAAGGGCAGUUUCUCAGUAAUGAUCCUUCCGCAGGUUCACCUACGGAAA
This 195-nucleotide unclassified non-coding RNA is filed under the name uncultured fungus. RNAcentral's name for it is "sequence contains ITS1". The record is from RNAcentral. Lineage: Eukaryota; Fungi.